UGGGGAAUCAUGGUCAAUGGGCGAAAGCCUGAACCUGCGACGCCGCGUGAGUGAUGAAGGUCGUAAGAUCGUAAAACUCUUUUCAGGGAUCUUAAAGCACAACCGUCAACAACGGCUGUGUGUGACUCUCCCUGGAAGAAGCCCCAGCCAACUACGUGCCAGCAGCCGCGGUAAUACGUAGGGGGCGAGCGUUGUCCGAAUUUAUUGGGCGUAAAGCGCGUGUAGGCGGCUCUUUAAGUCAGAUGUGAAAUCCUGCGGCUCAACCGCAGAACUGCAUUUGAUACUGGAGGGCUUGAGUGUGGGAGAGGAAAGUGGAAUUCCAGGUGUAGCGGUGAAAUGCGUAGAUAUCUGGAGGAACACCCGUGGCGAAGGCGGCUUUCUGGCCCACCACUGACGCUGAGACGCGAAGGCUAGGGGAGCGAACG
This 425-nucleotide ribosomal RNA is filed under the name uncultured prokaryote. Its description in RNAcentral is "bacterial SSU rRNA". It matches the Rfam family "Bacterial small subunit ribosomal RNA", at positions 355 to 774 of the family's 1533-position model. The record is from RNAcentral.